UGCGGACAGCUACCCAAAACCAAGAUGGCGCUGGGGCGGUGAGGUGUGCCGGUGUUUUCCCGCCCAGCGCGGAAGUGACGGCCCCGCGGCGGCGGCCCACCCCCCCCUCCCUUUAUGGUGGUUUUUUCUUUUUCCCUUUGGGCCCCGCGUCUUUUCCUCCGGCGAGACGGGAAAUGGCCGCCGAGCCGCGAUAAGGGAGCGGGGCCGCCGGCAGUUCCGCCCCACAGACAAGAUCUGAAAUGGUCCGAUACACUACUGUGCUCCUUCAGAGACUCAUGCUUGCUGAUGAUGAGAAGUAAAAACUUAAUCUUAUUAAGGCAUAUGUUUUGUAGAAAUUGGAAAUAUCUUGGUCACUACUAGUGAAUGGGAUCAAUAUUGCUGAAAGCACAAAUAGAGAGUUUUGAAAUAAUUGCUUCAUUGGCACCAACCGACGGUUUGAGGAGUAUAUCUACUGGGAAAAAUGGGUCGAUCUAACUCUAGAUCACAUUCUUCAAGAUCAAAGUCCAGAUCUCAUUCCAGCUCUCGGUCAAGAUCCAGAUCACAUUCUAGAAAAAAGAGAUACAGUUCUAGGUCUCGGUCAAGGACAUAUUCACGGUCUCGCAGCAGGGAUCGUGUUUAUUCUAGAGAUUAUCGCAGAGAUUACAGAAAUAAUAGAGGAAUGAGACGUCCCUAUGGUUACAGAGGAAGAGGUAGAGGGUAUUAUCAAGGAGGAGGUGGUAGAUACCAUCGUGGAGGUUAUAGGCCUGUCUGGAACCGAAGACACUCCCGAAGUCCUAGGCGUGGCCGUUCACGUUCCAGAAGUCCAAAACGAAGGUCUGUGUCUUCUCAGAGGUCCCGGAGCAGAUCUCGUCGAUCUUACAGAUCUUCCAGGUCCCCAAGGUCCUCUUCAUCUCGUUCUUCAUCCCCAUACAGCAAAUCACCUGUCUCUUCCAAAAGACGCGCGUCUCUGGAAAAGCAGGCAAAGAAAACUGAAGGGGCUCCUUUGCAAGAUAGCCCCUUGAAAAAUAAAUCACAAGAUGAACAGAAAGAUACAUUUGAACAUGACCCAUCAGAAUCUCUUGACGAUUUUAACAAAUCAUCAGCAGCUUCUGGCGACAUUUGGCCUGGCCUUUCAGCAUAUGAUAACAGUCCAAGGUCACCCCAUAGUCCUUCAAUCGCCACCCCACCUAGUCAGAGUUCAUCUUGCUCUGAUGCCCCUUUGCUUAGUACAGCCCACUCAGCAAAGGACACACCUCAACAUUCCCAUUCCAUUCAACAUAGUCCUGAGAGGUCUGGCUCUGGUUCUCUUGGAAAUGGUUCUAGCCGUUACAGUCCUUCUCAGAAUAGCCCACUGCAUCAUAUCCCUUCGAGGAGAAGCCCUGCAAAGACAAUCCCAUCACAGAGUGCUCCACGUGAGGAGGCUCGAGCACGGUCAUUUUAUCCUGAGGGUGGUGAUCAGGAAACUGCAAAAGGUGGAAAGUUUAUGAAAAGGUACACAGAUGAAGAGUCUAGAGUAUACCUGCUUGAUAGGGGUAAUACCAGGGAGAAGGAGGCCCAGAAGGAGAGAGGAUCAGAAAAAGGGAGGACAGAGGGAGAAAGGGAAUGGGAGGAACAGGAAACUUUAGAUUUUUUCGUUGAUAAAGAGCCCGGGAAAGAAAAGUUUAAUGACUCUGAAGGGGAGGACACUGAGGAGACUGAGGAUUACAGACAGUUCAGAAAGUCUGUCUUGGCAGAUCAGGGUAAAAAUUUUCCUACUGCAUCUCACCGGAAUGCUGAGGAGGAAGGAGCCAAAUACAAAUCUAAAAUACCAAUCAAGGGCAAUAGAGAGAGCGAUGGAUUUAGAGAUGAGAAAAGUUAUAAGCUUAAAGAGACUGGCUAUGUAGUGGAAAGGCCUAGCGCAACAAAAGAUAAGCACAAGGAAGAAGACAAGAGUUCUGAGAGACUAAUGAUGAAGAAAGAAACUCAGUCACCUGAGCAGGUAAAGUCUGAAAAGCUCAAAGAACUCUUUGAUUACAGUCCCCCUCUACACAAGAAUCUGGAUGCGAGAGAAAAAUCCACCUUCAGAGAGGAGAGCCCACUUAGGAUCAAAAUGAUAGCCAGUGACUCCCAUCGUCCUGAAGUUAAACUCAAAAUGGCACCAGUACCUCUUGAUGAUUCCAAUAGACCUGCUUCCUUGACUAAAGACAGGCUGCUUGCUAGCACACUUGUCCAUUCCGUCAAGAAGGAGCAAGAGUUCCGAUCCAUCUUUGACCACAUUAAGUUGCCACAGGCCAGCAAAAGCACGUCAGAGUCAUUUAUUCAGCACAUUGUGUCGUUGGUUCAUCAUGUCAAAGAGCAAUACUUCAAGUCAGCUGGAAUGACCCUAAAUGAGAGGUUCACUGCAUAUCAAAAAGCUACUGAAGAACACUGCACCCGACAAAAGAGCCCAGAAAUACAUAGGAGGAUUGACAUCUCUCCAAGUACCCUGAGGAAGCAUACCCGUUUAACAGGUGAAGAGAGAGUCUUUAAAGAAGAAAGUCAAAAAGGAGAUAAAAAAUUAAGAUGUGAUUCUGCUGAUCUUCGGCAUGACAUUGACCGACGUAGAAAAGAGCGAAGUAAAGAACGAGGAGACUCAAAGGGUUCCAGGGAAUCCAGUGGGUCAAGAAAGCAGGAGAAAACUCCAAAAGAUUACAAGGAUUACAAAUCUUACAAAGAUGACAGCAAAUAUGUAUUAUCUGUCUUUUACACGGCUUAUGGUGGAUGAGGACAAAAACUUUGGAAUAGCAAGCUAACACUGAAAAAAAAAUGACAAAUUAAUCUGUCCUAUUAUCCAGGCUACAUCAGGAGGUUGGACUUCAAUGCAGUACAUUUCUAUAAACAGUUUGUUAAACAAAAAAGAGAGCAAGACCGUGCUCGGUCCUCCCCAUCUUCCUCCCCAUCUUCUUCCUCAUCCAGCUCUCGAGAAGAAAAGGAUUGCAAGAAAGAAAGGGAUGAAGAGUUCAAAACCCACCAUGAACAGAAAGAAUACUCUGGUUUUGCAGGAGUUAACAGGCCAAGAGGCACCUUUUUUCGAAUUAGGGGCAGAGGAAGAGCCAGAGGAGUCUUUGCUGGAACAAAUACUGGUCCCAGCAACUCAAAUACUACUUUUCAGAAGAGACCGAAGGAAGAGGAAUGGGAUCCUGAAUAUACCCCAAAAAGCAAGAAAUACUUCUUGCAUGAUGAUAGAGACGAUGGUGUGGAUUAUUGGGCCAAAAGAGGAAGAGGCCGUGGUACUUUCCAGCGUGGCAGAGGGCGUUUUAGCUUCAAGAAGUCAGGUAGCAGUCCGAAGUGGACACAUGACAAAUACCAAGGGGAUGGAAUUGUGGAAGAUGAAGAAGAAACGAUUGAGAAUAAUGAAGAAAAGGACAGACGCAAAGAGGAAAAGGAAUAACCCUGGAAGAAAGUUGUAGCUGAAAGAGCAGCUCUUGCACCACCCACCCAACAUUUUUAAUAUGUUUUUUUUUGUUGUCAAAUGAAUGUAAGCAUUUUACUUAAAUUUUACUGUUGGAAAGUAGUUUAGAGGGAUUGUUUUUGUUUUAAGCCUUUAGAAAAAAUUCUUGAUAUAGUAAACUAUGUUAAUGAUCGUACAGGUAGAAAGUAAAAUAUUUGUAACAACUUUUAAGAAAUUUUACUGUUUGUUAUAUGCAGUGUAAUUCUGCUUUGUCCAAAUAUAUGGUCAAGUACAACUCUAAAAGUUUUGAUUCUCCCCUAUGUCUGUGUUUUAUUCUGAAGUAAACUUACAGCUCUGCACACCUGAAA
RNA transcript from Strigops habroptila (Kakapo), 3756 nucleotides. It is a transcript of the gene named BCL2 associated transcription factor 1, with no coding region annotated. Lineage: Eukaryota; Metazoa; Chordata; Aves; Psittaciformes; Psittacidae. The record is from RefSeq and is a predicted model, not a curated record. The transcript is spliced from 15 exons.